This 500-nucleotide ribosomal RNA is filed under the name uncultured bacterium. RNAcentral's name for it is "partial 16S ribosomal RNA". It matches the Rfam family "Bacterial small subunit ribosomal RNA", at positions 30 to 523 of the family's 1533-position model. The record is from RNAcentral.
AUUGAACGCUGGCGGCAUGCCUUACACAUGCAAGUCGAACGGCAGCACGGGAGCAAUCCUGGUGGCGAGUGGCGAACGGGUGAGUAAUAUAUCGGAACGUGCCCAGUCGUGGGGGAUAACGUAGCGAAAGCUACGCUAAUACCGCAUACGAUCUAUGGAUGAAAGCGGGGGAUCGCAAGACCUCGCGCGAUUGGAGCGGCCGAUAUCAGAUUAGGUAGUUGGUGAGGUAAAGGCUCACCAAGCCGACGAUCUGUAGCUGGUCUGAGAGGACGACCAGCCACACUGGGACGGAGACACGGCCCAGACUCCUACGGGAGGCAGCAGUGGGGAAUUUUGGACAAUGGGCGCAAGCCUGAUCCAGCAAUGCCGCGUGCAGGAUGAAGGCCUUCGGGUUGUAAACUGCUUUUGUACGGAACGAAACGGCGAGCUCUAAUACAGUUUGCUAAUGACGGUACCGUAAGAAUAAGCACCGGCUAACUACGUGCCAGCAGCCGCAGUAA